UACGUAGGGUGCGAGCGUUGUCCGGAAUUAUUGGGCGUAAAGAGCUCGUAGGCGGUGUGUCACGUCGUUCGUGAAAACCUGCAGCUUAACUGUGGGCGUGCGGUCGAUACGGGCAUCACUGGAGUUCGGCAGGGGAGACUGGAAUUCCUGGUGUAGCGGUGAAAUGCGCAGAUAUCAGGAGGAACACCGGUGGCGAAGGCGGUUCUCUGGGCCUUACCUGACGCUGAGGAGCGAAAGCGUGGGGAGCGAACAGG
This 254-nucleotide ribosomal RNA is filed under the name uncultured bacterium. RNAcentral describes it as "partial 16S ribosomal RNA". It matches the Rfam family "Bacterial small subunit ribosomal RNA", at positions 524 to 776 of the family's 1533-position model. The record is from RNAcentral.